UGUCCUACGGGGGGCAGCAGUGAGGAAUAUUGGUCAAUGGCCGGAAGGCUGAACCAGCCAAGUCGCGUGAGGGAAUAAGGCCCUAUGGGUCGUAAACCUCUUUUGUCAGGGAGCAAUGCCGGGCACGCGUGCCCGGAGGGAGAGUACCCGCAGAAUAAGCAUCGGCUAACUCCGCGCCAGCAGCCGCGGUAAUACGGAGGAUGCGAGCGUUAUCCGGAUUUAUUGGGUUUAAAGGGUGCGUAGGCGGAUUUUUAAGUCAGCGGUAAAAUGUCCGGGCUCAACCCGGGCCGGCCGUUGAAACUGGG
Molecule: ribosomal RNA, 305 nt
Filed under: uncultured bacterium
Lineage: Bacteria
Description: bacterial SSU rRNA
Rfam family: Bacterial small subunit ribosomal RNA
Source: RNAcentral